AAGACUCACGAAAGAUCACACCAUUCCAUUCUGUGGUAACGCGUAGUGACCAACAGUUUGGCGUUGGUUGUGGGGUAAUGGGAGUGAUUCACCGGCUCGGAAAUUAACAACCUAUCUUCCCUCGGAAUUUCAAGAUUGACCAGCCUGGCGUGCUCUGAGCAAAGUUUGGACAGACCGGAAGUUGUAACACGUCACCGCAGAACUCUAUCAAGCCCAGGCGUUUUGUGGCCACUCUAGUGAGAAACAGAAGACCGUCAUUUGUCCUAGUUUGAGAAGACAAACCGAUCACCCCCUCUACCCCUCUACACCGCUGACGCAAGAAGCUGUUAAAGGCCAGGACGAAGGAACGAAAGAAAAACGAAAAGGAAAUAAGUAAAAAGAAAAAGAGAACAAAAGAAACUUAGAAAUAUCUGAGCUGAAUUUUAGAAAUCUAGACGCGAAUACAGAAGGACAAGAAGAGUCUUUGAGUCGAGUCAACUCGGGCGUGAAGCAAAGAAGGAAAGAAAUUCAGUAACGCAGAGAGAAGCAGACAAAAGCAGA
Long non-coding RNA from Aplysia californica (California sea hare), 540 nucleotides. RefSeq lists it as uncharacterized. Lineage: Eukaryota; Metazoa; Mollusca; Gastropoda; Aplysiida; Aplysiidae. The record is from RefSeq and is a predicted model, not a curated record. The transcript is spliced from 2 exons.